RNAcentral lists this ribosomal RNA (450 nucleotides) under uncultured cyanobacterium. RNAcentral's name for it is "bacterial SSU rRNA". It matches the Rfam family "Bacterial small subunit ribosomal RNA", at positions 28 to 524 of the family's 1533-position model. Lineage: Bacteria; Bacillati; Cyanobacteriota. The record is from RNAcentral.
GAUGAACGCUGGCGGUAUGCUUAACACAUGCAAGUCGAACGGUCACUUCGGUGAUAGUGGCGGACGGGUGAGUAACGCGUGAGAAUCUGUCUUCAGGUCGGGGACAACAGUUAGAAAUGACUGCUAAUACCGGAUGUGCCGAAAGGUGAAAGAUUUAUUGCCUGAAAGAGAGCUCGCGUCAGAUUAGCUAGUAGGUGGUGUAAGAGACUACCUAGGCGACGAUCUGUAGUUGGUCUGAGAGGACGAUCAGCCACACUGGAACUGAGACACGGUCCAGACUCCUACGGGAGGCAGCAGUGGGGAAUUUUCCGCAAUGGGCGAAAGCCUGACGGAGCAAUACCGCGUGAGGGACGAAGGCUUUUGGGUCGUAAACCUCUUUUCUCAAGGAAGACACAGGACGGUACUUGAGGAAUAAGCAUCGGCUAACUCUGUGCCAGCAGCCGCGGUAAU